UGCAGUUAGUGCUCUGUUGCUCCAGAUUCCCAGGUAACUUGGCUCUGCUGAGCUGUGCUUGUCCCAGUGAGCCAGAGCUCUACCUCCCUGGACGUGCAGCAGCCCCAAGAGCUGCCUCCCCUCAGUGGGAAGGGUGCAGGUGACCCCACUGGCCACCUUGAGCACCAAAGAAGGUAUCCCAAGGGUGUGCCCAAAGCCUGGUGGCUCUCAAGGUCCUGGGUGGCAUUGCCCCAGGGGUGACACCCCCAUGCUGUGGACAUGAUUCUAGGCUCAGCUUGAUGCUCAGCUUGCCACCGAGGCCCCUGGCCGUUACUGUAUUUUCGCCCCACCUGGGUAAGUUGGUGGUCACACCUCCUCCUGAGCUCUUGCACCUUGCCCUUCUCUCACGAGGUCCUCAGAUUUCCUCUAUUUCAGGGGAAAGCUGUUCUCCCUGAACCCGGGAGUUGUAGGCCCUCUCUGCCUUGUUCACUCACUAGUGAACGCCUGGCCCCUAUCCUCUACAUGAACAAAGACCUGAGCGGCCACAUGAUAGGAGGCUGCCCGCCUCUGUCCAGGUAAUGGUCCAGCCCUGAGCAGCCCAGGCACCCAGGAACCCAGGUGAAAUCACACAUCCUUCUCUUCCUAUUGAAACGGCUCUCUACAGCUUGGCCCAUCACAACCAGCAGCCAUGUGCUGUGCACGGGGAGGUUGCGGGGAGCAGGGGCCAUGAGGAGAGGGCCGCUUGGUCCAGUGUUUCAUGGCGUCUCACACUCUGCGAGUAGGAGGUGGCUCAUGCCUGAGUUAAAAAGGGGUGCUCCUAAUCCUGGCCAGGAUGGAGUAACAGGCUGUUGUUUCCUGCUGAAGACAACCAUAGAACCAGAACACUUGAAAUGGUAGUUUUCCAGAUACUGGAUAUCAGGGAAAUGCACUGAUCCCUGAAAGACAGGGAACAAACCAUUGCCCACCAUUGCGCCUUGAGGGUCCAGGCACGGUGCAGAGAGAGGAACCUGGGCAGAUCCCAGAAGACUCCCUGAGUUGCAGAAAUGGAGCUGAGAGCCCGAGAGGGCCCAGUGGUUAGAGUUCUCCAGACGGGCGUGGGAGAGGACUCAGGGGUGUGCAGAGGGCUCAUCAGAUAGAUGCCCAGAAACAGAUCUCUGUGCACAGCUGGGGAGACUACUGGAGGCCUGUGAGAGAAUCACCCUAAAGGACCAAGGGGACAGUGCUCACAGAGGCCCGGUUCUGUUCCCACGGGCCAGCAUGGAACACCUCACAUGGACAUUUGGUAGUUGGGGGUGGAGGGCACAGAAAUGUGGUGAAGAAUAAUGAGCCCUAGACUGAGUACUUAUCCACGCCUGCCUAUACAUCAUGAAAGCAAGACCCAGAAGGAUUAAGCCGGUCCCAGGUAACUUAACUGCAUCCCAGAACCAGUCUCAAGCAUAUUUAGUGAAAAACAAAAACAUCCAGUGUGCAAAACCAUAAAAUUUUACAAAUGUCAAGUAUCUAACCAAGGAUUACGGGGCAUGCAAAGAAGUAGAGUAUGACCCAUAAUGAGGAUUAUUAUUAAUCAGAAUUAACAUGAAUGUUGCAAUUAGCAAAAAGAAAAAAAGGACAUAAAAUAGUUGUUAUAGGGGCUGGGAUUGUGGCUCAGCGGUAGAGCGCUAGCCUAGUGCGGGUAGGACCUGGGUUCCAUCCUCAGCACCACAUAAAAAUAAAGGCAUUGUGUUGUGUCCAUCCACACCUAAAAAAUAAAUAUUAAAAAAAUAGUUGUUAUAACUAAAUUCCACAAGAUCAAAUAACUAAGUAGAGAUGUGUAAUUUUUUUAAAAAAGACUCGAAUCAGACUUUAUCAAAAACUAUAAUAAGAAAUGAAAAAUACAUUGGAUGGCAUUAACAGAAAAUUAGACUUUGUAAAAGAUCAAUGAACUUGACAAUAUAAUGAUAAAAAUUAUCCACAAUGAAGAAUACAGAGAAAAAAGAAUCCCCCAAAUAAAGACUAUCAGUGGGAUGUAGGUCAACUUCAAGUAGCCUAACACAAGUAGCCUAACACUUGUGUAACCGGAAUCCCUGAAGAGAAGAUGGGGAAUAGAAAAAAAAUUAGAGUAAAAAUAACCAAACAUUUUCCAAAACAAAGUUGUAAACCACAAAUCUGAGAACUCAACUCCAUGAGGAAAACACCAAGGCAAAUCAUAAGCAAGUCAUAAUUUUUUUUAAAAAAAGUGAUAAAUAAAACAUCUUAAAAGCAGCCAGAGGGGGAAAAAGACAUUACAUCCAGA
RNAcentral lists this long non-coding RNA (2251 nucleotides) under Marmota monax (woodchuck). Lineage: Eukaryota; Metazoa; Chordata; Mammalia; Rodentia; Sciuridae. The record is from RNAcentral.